RNAcentral lists this non-coding RNA (22 nucleotides) under Arabidopsis thaliana (thale cress). Lineage: Eukaryota; Viridiplantae; Streptophyta; Magnoliopsida; Brassicales; Brassicaceae. The record is from RNAcentral.
AAAGGUAAAUGGGUCAAAUAAC